CCUACGGGUGGCUGCAGUGAGGAAUAUUGGUCAAUGGACGGAAGUCUGAACCAGCCAUGCCGCGUGCAGGAAGACGGCUCUAUGAGUUGUAAACUGCUUUUGUACAAGGGUAAACAUGAAUACGUGUAUGCAGCUGAAAGUACGGUACGAAUAAGGAUCGGCUAGCUCCGUGCCAGCAGCCGCGGUAAUACGGAGGAACCAAGCGUUAUCCGGAUUUAUUGGGUUUAAAGGGUGCGUAGGCGGUUUGAUAAGUUAGAGGGGAAAUGUCCGAGCUUAACUCGGGAACUGCCUCUCAUACUGUUGAUCUAGCGCGUAGGUGCGGUAGGCGGAAUGUCUGGUGUAGCGGUGAAAUGCUU
Molecule: ribosomal RNA, 356 nt
Filed under: uncultured bacterium
Lineage: Bacteria
Description: partial 16S ribosomal RNA
Rfam family: Bacterial small subunit ribosomal RNA
Source: RNAcentral